Molecule: long non-coding RNA, 286 nt
Filed under: Sorghum bicolor (sorghum)
Lineage: Eukaryota; Viridiplantae; Streptophyta; Magnoliopsida; Poales; Poaceae
Description: long non-coding RNA (SBIC_LNC007978)
Source: RNAcentral
CACUCUUUCUCCUAGUGGUAAAAAAAUAAAUCCGAUACUCUAGAUAACCUCCCGGGUGAAGUGCUCUCCGAUAUCCGUGUGCUUGUGGAUCAAUUCCUUAUUGCGUUUCGAAAUAUCAACAAGCAUUUUUGGCGCCGUUGCCGGGGAGAAAGACGGUUUGCUGAGAUAACCUUGAGUCUUACUACUAGCUUGUAUCUAUACUUUUAUCUUUUCUUAUCUUUUAUAUUCUUUAUUUAUUUUCUUUACUCUUACCUUAUGGAAAACCAAAAUUCUAAAUCGAGCCAUG